Olea europaea var. sylvestris is the source of this 231-nucleotide long non-coding RNA. RefSeq lists it as uncharacterized. The record is from RefSeq and is a predicted model, not a curated record. The transcript has 2 exons. Lineage: Eukaryota; Viridiplantae; Streptophyta; Magnoliopsida; Lamiales; Oleaceae.
UGUGGCAUCGAAUAUUUCUCUCUUCCCACAUUCAAUCUUUCCUCCUUAUUUUUUUAUUUUUUGAGAACAUAUAUAUUCCCCAUCAUUUCACUCGCACUCUCUCCUCUCCGCCACCUCUUCAUCUUCUUCGCUUUCUCUUUAAAGCAGAAUGGCGACCUUCAAGGUUUCUUCUGUGGAAACGACGCCGUUUGAUGACCAGAAACCGGGAACUUCUGGUCUCAGGAAAAAGGU